UUUAUCCCUCCAAUCAAGACAUGACAUGUGGCCCACUAAGGGGGGGGGGGGGGAUUUCCACAAUGUCUCUUUGCUCUCUCUCAGACCUUUUUGAAGACUAAAUACUCUUCUCUCUCGGCAUAACAAAAAACAAAAACCACACCCACAAAAUCUGCUCACGAUUUUUUUCUUUCUCAAAAAAAUCCUCUCUCUCUCUUCCUACAAAAACAAUACCACGCCAUAU
RNAcentral lists this long non-coding RNA (223 nucleotides) under Lathyrus oleraceus (garden pea). Its description in RNAcentral is "Pisum sativum (pea) long non-coding RNA (PSAT_LNC017882)". The record is from RNAcentral. Lineage: Eukaryota; Viridiplantae; Streptophyta; Magnoliopsida; Fabales; Fabaceae.